Molecule: ribosomal RNA, 2506 nt
Filed under: Vibrio parahaemolyticus
Lineage: Bacteria; Pseudomonadati; Pseudomonadota; Gammaproteobacteria; Vibrionales; Vibrionaceae
Description: partial 23S ribosomal RNA
Rfam family: Bacterial large subunit ribosomal RNA
Source: RNAcentral
UCUGAAUAUGGGGGGACCAUCCUCCAAGGCUAAAUACUACUGACUGACCGAUAGUGAACCAGUACCGUGAGGGAAAGGCGAAAAGAACCCCUGUGAGGGGAGUGAAAUAGAACCUGAAACCGUGUACGUACAAGCAGUAGGAGCAGGCUUUGUCCUGUGACUGCGUACCUUUUGUAUAAUGGGUCAGCGACUUAUAUUCAGUGGCAAGGUUAACCAUCUAGGGGAGCCGUAGGGAAACCGAGUCUUAACUGGGCGUUCAGUCUCUGGAUAUAGACCCGAAACCAGGUGAUCUAGCCAUGGGCAGGUUGAAGGUUGAGUAACAUCAACUGGAGGACCGAACCGACUAAUGUUGAAAAAUUAGCGGAUGACUUGUGGCUAGGGGUGAAAGGCCAAUCAAACCUGGAGAUAGCUGGUUCUCCCCGAAAGCUAUUUAGGUAGCGCCUCGGACGAAUACUACUGGGGGUAGAGCACUGUUAAGGCUAGGGGGUCAUCCCGACUUACCAACCCUUUGCAAACUCCGAAUACCAGUAAGUACUAUCCGGGAGACACACGGCGGGUGCUAACGUCCGUCGUGGAGAGGGAAACAACCCAGACCGCCAGCUAAGGUCCCAAAUUACUACUAAGUGGGAAACGAUGUGGGAAGGCUCAGACAGCCAGGAUGUUGGCUUAGAAGCAGCCAUCAUUUAAAGAAAGCGUAAUAGCUCACUGGUCGAGUCGGCCUGCGCGGAAGAUGUAACGGGGCUAAGUAGUAAACCGAAGCUGCGGCAAUAUACUUUUGUAUAUUGGGUAGGGGAGCGUUCUGUAAGCGGUUGAAGGUGUGUGGUAACGCAUGCUGGACGUAUCAGAAGUGCGAAUGCUGACAUGAGUAACGAUAAAGGGGGUGAAAAACCUCCUCGCCGGAAGACCAAGGGUUCCUGUCCAACGUUAAUCGGGGCAGGGUAAGUCGACCCCUAAGGCGAGGCCGAAAGGCGUAGUCGAUGGGAAACGGGUUAAUAUUCCCGUACUUCUUACAAUUGCGAUGGGGGGACGGAGAAGGCUAGGUGGGCCUGGCGACGGUUGUCCAGGUUCAAGUGCGUAGGCUUAAGAGUUAGGUAAAUCCGGCUCUUUUUAAGGCUGAGACACGACGUCGAGCAUCUACGGAUGUGAAGUCAUUGAUGCCAUGCUUCCAGGAAAAGCCUCUAAGCUUCAGAUUGUAAGGAAUCGUACCCCAAACCGACACAGGUGGUCGGGUAGAGAAUACCAAGGCGCUUGAGAGAACUCGGGUGAAGGAACUAGGCAAAAUGGUACCGUAACUUCGGGAGAAGGUACGCUCUCGACGGUGAAGUCCCUCGCGGAUGGAGCUAUUGAGAGUCGCAGAUACCAGGUGGCUGCAACUGUUUAUUAAAAACACAGCACUGUGCAAAAUCGUAAGAUGACGUAUACGGUGUGACGCCUGCCCGGUGCCGGAAGGUUAAUUGAUGGGGUUAGACUUCGGUCGAAGCUCUUGAUCGAAGCCCCGGUAAACGGCGGCCGUAACUAUAACGGUCCUAAGGUAGCGAAAUUCCUUGUCGGGUAAGUUCCGACCUGCACGAAUGGCGUAAUGAUGGCCACGCUGUCUCCACCCGAGACUCAGUGAAAUUGAAAUCGCUGUGAAGAUGCAGUGUACCCGCGGCUAGACGGAAAGACCCCGUGAACCUUUACUACAGCUUGGCACUGAACAUUGACCCUACAUGUGUAGGAUAGGUGGGAGGCUUUGAAGCACGUACGCCAGUAUGUGUGGAGCCGUCCUUGAAAUACCACCCUUGUAGUGUUGAUGUUCUAACGUCGACCCCUUAUCGGGGUUGCGGACAGUGCCUGGUGGGUAGUUUGACUGGGGCGGUCUCCUCCCAAAGAGUAACGGAGGAGCACGAAGGUGGGCUAAUCACGGUUGGACAUCGUGAGGUUAGUGCAAUGGCAUAAGCCCGCUUGACUGCGAGAAUGACAAUUCGAGCAGGUGCGAAAGCAGGUCAUAGUGAUCCGGUGGUUCUGAAUGGAAGGGCCAUCGCUCAACGGAUAAAAGGUACUCCGGGGAUAACAGGCUGAUACCGCCCAAGAGUUCAUAUCGACGGCGGUGUUUGGCACCUCGAUGUCGGCUCAUCACAUCCUGGGGCUGAAGUCGGUCCCAAGGGUAUGGCUGUUCGCCAUUUAAAGUGGUACGCGAGCUGGGUUUAGAACGUCGUGAGACAGUUCGGUCCCUAUCUGCCGUGGGCGUUGGAAGAUUGAAGGGGGCUGCUCCUAGUACGAGAGGACCGGAGUGGACGAACCUCUGGUGUUCGGGUUGUGUCGCCAGACGCAUUGCCCGGUAGCUAAGUUCGGAAUCGAUAACCGCUGAAAGCAUCUAAGCGGGAAGCGAGCCCUGAGAUGAGUCUUCCCUGAUACUUUAAGUAUCCUAAAGGGUUGUCGGAGACUACGACGUUGAUAGGUCAGGUGUGUAAGUGCUGUGAGGCAUUGAGCUAACUGAUACUAAUUGCCCGUGAGGCUUAACCAU